RNAcentral lists this ribosomal RNA (468 nucleotides) under uncultured bacterium. RNAcentral describes it as "partial 16S ribosomal RNA". It matches the Rfam family "Bacterial small subunit ribosomal RNA", at positions 28 to 507 of the family's 1533-position model. The record is from RNAcentral.
GAUGAACGCUGGCGGCGUGCUUAACACAUGCAAGUCAAACGGUGAAGGCGGAGCUUGCUCUGCUGGAUCAGUGGCGAACGGGUGAGUAACACGUGAGCAAUCUGCCCCUGACUCUGGGAUAAGCGCUGGAAACGGCGUCUAAUACUGGAUACGAGCUGCGAAGGCAUCUUCAGCAGCUGGAAAGAAUUUCGGUCAGGGAUGAGCUCGCGGCCUAUCAGCUUGUUGGUGAGGUAAUGGCUCACCAAGGCGUCGACGGGUAGCCGGCCUGAGAGGGUGACCGGCCACACUGGGACUGAGACACGGCCCAGACUCCUACGGGAGGCAGCAGUGGGGAAUAUUGCACAAUGGGCGAAAGCCUGAUGCAGCAACGCCGCGUGAGGGACGACGGCCUUCGGGUUGUAAACCUCUUUUAGCAGGGAAGAAGCGAAAGUGACGGUACCUGCAGAAAAAGCGCCGGCUAACUACGUG